Long non-coding RNA from Cololabis saira (Pacific saury), 619 nucleotides. RefSeq lists it as uncharacterized. The record is from RefSeq and is a predicted model, not a curated record. NCBI's taxonomy places the organism in Eukaryota, Metazoa, Chordata, Actinopteri, Beloniformes, Belonidae. The transcript has 4 exons.
GACGACACUGUCCGCAAACUCCUGCAGAGUCUGCAUUUGUCCAUACAGUGACCGCAGGAUGUCGAGCACGCCAGAGAGAUCAUUUGCAGACAUGGCAAUGACUGCAUGAAGCCGUCGCGCUGACUUUCAACAGAAGAAAAACAUAGUUAUAGCAGGUUUGCUGUGUCGAACCAGGCGAACCAACUUUUUAAGGACCGCGUUAUGCUUAGCCAAUGAACGAUUAGUUUAGAGCAAGCGUCCAAUCAGAACACCUCAUACUGAAGCGACAUUUACAUUUGACCAAUAGCCGUCAACAAAAGAGGAAACAGGCCAUUUCAAAAGCACCGUAGGAGCCUGUGGCUGCAAGCCAUCAAAAGAACCGACUGGACCGAGGACAUCAUCAAGAACGCCCGCGUUUGCAGUGCUCAUUUCAUAUCUGGUGAGAUGUCACUGGACCACGAGAGUCCUGAUUUUGUGCCCUCUAUUUUUUCACACACUAAACAAAACCAAAACCCUGAUGCAAAGAUCAAAAGAAAAAAGAAAUGGAGUGAAAGACUUCUGGUUGCUCCACCAAACCAACCUGCUCCUGCUCCUGCUCCUGGAACUCCAGGGGAAGUCCCCGGCAUGGAUCACAGUCCUA